UUAUGCCAAGAACUCAACUACAGAUGG
Molecule: non-coding RNA, 27 nt
Filed under: Rattus norvegicus (Norway rat)
Lineage: Eukaryota; Metazoa; Chordata; Mammalia; Rodentia; Muridae
Source: RNAcentral